CGGGAGUGGCGAAAUUGGUAGACGCACCAGAUUUAGGUUCUGGCGCCGCAAGGUGUGCGAGUUCAAGUCUCCCAGGUACCCCAGCCA
Molecule: transfer RNA, 87 nt
Filed under: Klebsiella michiganensis
Lineage: Bacteria; Pseudomonadati; Pseudomonadota; Gammaproteobacteria; Enterobacterales; Enterobacteriaceae
Description: tRNA-Leu
Source: RNAcentral